CGGUUCUUUUGGAUUUUUAAUAUGUAGUUUUCGAUACGAUUAAGCCCUCAAAGUUUUGGAAUUCUUUGUCAUUUGCCCUAGGGAUCGUGUUUAGCUGAUAUGUUUAUGGUUUUAGCUCUGUUUUAGUGAGUCUUGUGUUUAUGUGAUCGUACCGUAUUUUAGCAAUGAUUUUGUUUGUUCUGUAUAUGUAUAUGAUGAUUGAUAUAUUGUUUUUUGUUAUAUUUGUUUGCUUGUUGUAUGAUUGCCUUGGAUACUUGUCGUGUGUAGAAGGAGAGUAGUGCGUGAACUUUCAAGAGCAAGAGUAUGAAGAUUAUAAGCACCGUCAAAUUUUUUUUUGAGAAUGUGCAUGAUCACAUAUUUUAUUUAAAAAAAGACUACAACAACGCAACUUCGAGGGAACUCUUGAAGUGUGCUAUACAAGACAAGACCAACACCAAGGCCUUGUUUAGUUGGUGAAUUUGGGAGGUGCCAAAUUACUGUUACAGCACUGUAGCAUACUGUAGCGUUUCGUUUGUAUUUGUGAAUUAUUGUCCAAAUAUUGACUAAUUAGGCUCAAAAGAUUCGUCUCGCAAAGUACAACAAAAC
RNAcentral lists this long non-coding RNA (585 nucleotides) under Setaria viridis. Its description in RNAcentral is "long non-coding RNA (SVIR_LNC001168)". The record is from RNAcentral. Lineage: Eukaryota; Viridiplantae; Streptophyta; Magnoliopsida; Poales; Poaceae.